UAAUACGAAGGGAGCGAGCGUUAUUCGGAAUUACUGGGCGUAAAGGGUGCGUAGGCGGCUUAGUAAGUCACGUGUUAAAGACCGGUUCAUAACGCCGGAAAGGCACGUGAAACUGCUGAGCUAGAGUACAGGAGAGAGAAGUGGAAUUCUCGGAGUAGCGGUAGAAUGCGUAGAUCUCGAGAGGAACACCGAUGGCGAAGGCAGCUUCUUGGCCUGGUACUGACGCUGAGGCACGAAAGCGUGGGGAGCAAACAGG
This 256-nucleotide ribosomal RNA is filed under the name uncultured bacterium. RNAcentral describes it as "partial 16S ribosomal RNA". It matches the Rfam family "Bacterial small subunit ribosomal RNA", at positions 521 to 776 of the family's 1533-position model. The record is from RNAcentral.